This 440-nucleotide ribosomal RNA is filed under the name uncultured bacterium. Its description in RNAcentral is "partial 16S ribosomal RNA". It matches the Rfam family "Bacterial small subunit ribosomal RNA", at positions 338 to 795 of the family's 1533-position model. The record is from RNAcentral.
CCUACGGGAGGCAGCAGUGGGGAAUAUUGCACAAUGGGGGAAACCCUGAUGCAGCGACGCCGUGUGAGUGAAGAAGUAUUUCGGUACGUAAAGCUCUAUCAGCAGGGAAGAAAAUGACGGUACCUGACUAAGAAGCCCCGGCUAACUACGUGCCAGCAGCCGCGGUAAUACGUAGGGGGCAAGCGUUAUCCGGAUUUACUGGGUGUAAAGGGAGCGUAGACGGCAGCGCAAGUCUGGAGUGAAAUCCCAUGGCUUAACCAUGGAACUGCUUUGGAAACUGUGCAGCUAGAGUGCAGGAGAGGUAAGCGGAAUUCCUAGUGUAGCGGUGAAAUGCGUAGAUAUUAGGAGGAACACCAGUGGCGAAGGCGGCUUACUGGACUGUAACUGACGUUGAGGCUCGAAAGCGUGGGGAGCAAACAGGAUUAGAUACCCCUGUAGUC